CCUACGGGAGGCAGCAGUGGGGAAUUUUGGACAAUGGGCGAAAGCCUGAUCCAGCAAUGCCGCGUGAGUGAAGAAGGCCUUCGGGUUGUAAAGCUCUUUUGUCAGGGAAGAAACGGUGAGGGCUAAUAUCUCUUGCUAAUGACGGUACCUGAAGAAUAAGCACCGGCUAACUACGUGCCAGCAGCCGCGGUAAUACGUAGGGUGCAAGCGUUAAUCGGAAUUACUGGGCGUAAAGCGUGCGCAGGCGGUUUUGUAAGUCUGUCGUGAAAUCCCCGGGCUCAACCUGGGAAUUGCGAUGGAGACUGCAAGGCUAGAAUCUGGCAGAGGGGGGUAGAAUUCCACGUGUAGCAGUGAAAUGCGUAGAGAUGUGGAGGAACACCGAUGGCGAAGGCAGCCCCCUGGGUCAAGAUUGACGCUCAUGCACGAAAGCGUGGGGAGCAAACAGGAUUAGAUACCCUGGUAGUCCACGCCCUAAACGAUGUCUACUAGUUGUCGGGUUUUAAUUAACUUGGUAACGCAGCUAACGCGUGAAGUAGACCGCCUGGGGAAUACGGUCGCAAGNUUAAAACUCAAAAGUANAGUAGACGNGAGAGAGACGACGACGACGACGACGGAGGAGGAGG
This 623-nucleotide ribosomal RNA is filed under the name uncultured bacterium. Its description in RNAcentral is "bacterial SSU rRNA". It matches the Rfam family "Bacterial small subunit ribosomal RNA", at positions 338 to 1414 of the family's 1533-position model. The record is from RNAcentral.